This 62-nucleotide microRNA precursor is filed under the name Strongyloides ratti. Its description in RNAcentral is "pre miRNA Sra-mir-8379.2". The record is from RNAcentral. Lineage: Eukaryota; Metazoa; Nematoda; Chromadorea; Rhabditida; Strongyloididae.
UUAGCCGUCUAAGGCAGUAUUAGAAAAUUUUUAAUAUAUCUGAUACUGUAAAAGACAGCUAA